RNAcentral lists this long non-coding RNA (572 nucleotides) under Eucalyptus grandis. Its description in RNAcentral is "long non-coding RNA (EGRA_LNC006930)". The record is from RNAcentral. Lineage: Eukaryota; Viridiplantae; Streptophyta; Magnoliopsida; Myrtales; Myrtaceae.
UAGAGUGUAACAUGUGGUGUGAUUUAUAUGACCUAAAUAACAUUUUUUAUUCUCUUUUUUUUUUAUUAAAGGAAAAUUAACCUAAUCUUAUAUGAAUCUAAAAAAUCAAAAUGCGUUGCUUUAAACAUGAGAUAUGUAUGGACUUAAAUACCUAAGUUCUAUAAUGCAUGAUAUAUAAUGAACAAAUAACGAUGACAUGCCAAAAAAAUCCAUCCAUGUAAAUCAAUGGCAUAUUAUUUUAAUGUGAAUCAAUGAUGCAAAGCAAUUCAUGAAUUUACCAUGAAAAGUCAAAAUAAGCAAAAAUCUAAGCCGACGUCUCGCGGCUCAAUAUUUUUGAUUAUUAUGACUUAAUAUGACAAAUUUCAUAAUUGGAUAAUGAUAAAAACAAAACAAAUCAAGUCAAUUCCACAAGCUAAAAAAUCCAAAUAAUAGCUGAAUUUAACCUAAAAUUUUACCUAGCUUGGAAAAUUAUCUCCAAGAUGAAAACCAGCAAGGAACAUUCCAAAUUCACCCUUCUCAAGCUUCAAGUGACCUGCACAAGGAAAAUGGUACCAACGGUACUGAACUUGCUG